AGCUCCGUUAUAAUCUAUAGGACCACAUAUACAGCGGUGGUCCUAUAGGAUUAUAACGGAGCUGA
Molecule: microRNA precursor, 65 nt
Organism: Macaca fascicularis (crab-eating macaque)
Lineage: Eukaryota; Metazoa; Chordata; Mammalia; Primates; Cercopithecidae
Source: Ensembl